CUCACAUUUUCAUUUACUCUCACUACAGUAGAAAUAGGAAAAGAAACGGUUGUAUCUCCCACGAUCCAGCAAUUUUAUCUCCCACAAACUAUUUCAUGCAAUUGAAUUCCCACCCUGAUUGAAACUAUCCACCAACGGUUUGUCUCCCGCAAAGUGAACGUUUCAUCUCCCACAAAUUGUUCCCUGGAACAUCUGAGUACCCUGCAACAUAAUUCGUUUUCUUUACAUCUGAGUACCCUGCAACAUUAAGAUUGCCGAGUUGUCUAUCUGAGGAAGAGACGAAGAGACUGAAGGUUUGGAGAAGAAAGAAAAGAAGAAUCAUCUGUUGUUUUUUAAACUGUCUUGCUCAAUGAACCGCCCAAAUCGAUUAGUAACGUAAAAGAUGAAGUCCAGGAAGACAGAUGUAUGCUGCUUCAGUGGCGUAAAAGAUGUCUAGGAAGACAGAAGUAUGUUGCUUAAUUUCUAUUCUUUCGAACGUAUCGGCAUGUUGCUUAAUUUUCAGGGAGCUUGGCCGAUUUGGAUCGCUCCUCUGACGAUACCUCUGUGGAUUCUCGGGGUUAUAUUUUAUGUUUGUAUUAGAGGAGACCAGCCAAGGCUCUAAGCUGGAAUUUACAGAGGACGAGGAAACGCUUAUUUACAAUCUGCUUGGAGACAGGUGGUCUCUAAUCGCUGGGAGAAUACCAGGAAGAACAGCGGUAGAGAUCGAGAAGUACUGGACUUCUAGGUACUCAACAAGUGAAUGAGAGAAUCUUUAUGGUGUUUUCUCUAUGAAAACAAGCAAUUUUGGGGCGUAUUGAUGCAGAGUAUGCUGCAAGACAGAGGUAUGUUGCUUAAUUUUCAGGGAACUUGGAUCUUUGGACCUGAUAACUGCCACCCAUCAAGUAUCGGCAAAGGUUGGAAUCAACAUGCAAUUGAAAAUUGAAGAUUCCAUCCUGAUCAAUUGCUAAAAUGUGAUCCUGUCGGACUCAAACUUCAUGGAACUAUUUCCUGAACAACCGCAUAACUAUGAUCCAUUUUUGGAGUCAAGUUCUGACAGUUGUUCCAUAAGAGAUGACGUUCUUAAAGAUAUACAAUUGAAAGUUGAGAAUAUUGUUACUGAUCAAUCUGAGAUUACAUUCCUAUUGAUGCUGUCCAAAGGCAGAGAAAGAGAAGUAUUGGCCAGCUUCGGAUACAGUGGCUGAGGAGUCUACUGCUAUUAUUGAUGAGAUUUCAGCAACCAAGGAAUGCAUCCCAUGUUUGGUUGGGGCUCCAACGUCCCUUGAGAUUUCUGCUACUGAUCAAACUCUCGCCAAUGUUCUACCAGGCUUAAGCCUUGGAGCACCUGGAUCAGAUUCCAGGCAUCAUUUACCACUUCAGAUUCAAAUGACAUCGAGAAAGUCAUCGAACAAGAAGCAAACACCAAUUCGAAAGGCAAUCAAGAUUUUGAAGGAUGACAAGAAGAACAUUGACAGAUAACAACACCACCAAGAAGCUGGAGUCGGGUAGUGGACUGAAAAAUGCCAAGUUAUUAACUAUCAUUGCAGAAGAGAAGGAGAACAAUGCCAAGUUAUUAACUGCAUAGAAGGGAUUCAGUAGCACAGGGUUAGGAAAGCUGAGGAAGACUCAUAAAGAGAAAUUGCAGAACAGCAAUGGGACAAGAGUGGCAAUAGCAACAGUUUCAAAAGACAAGAACAGCUCUGCAAACUCUAAUAGAGAACCGGUUGAUGUUGGGAGAUACAAAAAACUAAGUCAAGAUACUUGCUAUUGGCGUUGGUGUGGUUGUCAUGGCAGUGGGGUUAAAACUUUGCUUUGCCCCUUAUUUUUUUUUUGGUAGUAACAUUUUCAUGGGACCGUUAAGUGGUUAAGAGUUGGAUGUUUUUAUUUCCUUGCUCUUUUUUAGUGUUAUUAAUGUUUAGAAACAACGAAAGGGGAUAUUUCUGAAAUGAGAUAGAGAGAGAAGAUGCUUUUCUACAGGAUAGUAAAUUGAAUUGGAUGAUUUGAAUACAAUCUCAAAUCAGAAAAAUUCUAAGUAGUAAGCACUUUUCUUCUUUUUAUGGCUUGUAAAUCAAUCAA
This is a long non-coding RNA of Nelumbo nucifera (sacred lotus), 2052 nucleotides long. RefSeq lists it as uncharacterized. The record is from RefSeq and is a predicted model, not a curated record. Lineage: Eukaryota; Viridiplantae; Streptophyta; Magnoliopsida; Proteales; Nelumbonaceae.